Molecule: ribosomal RNA, 346 nt
Filed under: uncultured bacterium
Lineage: Bacteria
Description: partial 16S ribosomal RNA
Rfam family: Bacterial small subunit ribosomal RNA
Source: RNAcentral
CCUACGGGUGGCUGCAGUCGAGAAUCAUUCACAAUGGGGGAAACCCUGAUGGUGCGACGCCGCGUGGGGGAAUGAAGGUCUUCGGAUUGUAAACCCCUGUCAUGUGGGAGCAAAUUAAAAAGAUAGUACCACAAGAGGAAGAGACGGCUAACUCUGUGCCAGCAGCCGCGGUAAUACAGAGGUCUCAAGCGUUGUUCGGAAUCACUGGGCGUAAAGCGUGCGUAGGCGUUUUCGUAAGUCGUGUGUGAAAGGCGCGGGCUCAACCCGCGGACGGCACAUGAUACUGCGAGACUGGUGUAAGGGAGGGGGAAGCGGAAUUCCCGGUGUAGGAGUGAAAUGCGUAGAU